RNAcentral lists this ribosomal RNA (406 nucleotides) under uncultured Corynebacterium sp. Its description in RNAcentral is "bacterial SSU rRNA". It matches the Rfam family "Bacterial small subunit ribosomal RNA", at positions 976 to 1382 of the family's 1533-position model. Lineage: Bacteria; Bacillati; Actinomycetota; Actinomycetes; Mycobacteriales; Corynebacteriaceae. The record is from RNAcentral.
UGGGCUUGACAUAUGCCGGAUCGGCGCAGAGAUGCGUUUUCCCUUGUGGUCGGUAUACAGGUGGUGCAUGGUUGUCGUCAGCUCGUGUCGUGAGAUGUUGGGUUAAGUCCCGCAACGAGCGCAACCCUUGUCUUGUGUUGCCAGCACGUUAUGGUGGGGACUCGCGAGAGACUGCCGGGGUUAACUCGGAGGAAGGUGGGGAUGACGUCAAAUCAUCAUGCCCCUUAUGUCCAGGGCUUCACACAUGCUACAAUGGUCGGUACAGUGGGUUGCUACACCGUGAGGUGGUGCUAAUCCCUUAAAGCCGGUCUCAGUUCGGAUUGGAGUCUGCAACUCGACUCCAUGAAGUCGGAGUCGCUAGUAAUCGCAGAUCAGCAACGCUGCGGUGAAUACGUUCCCGGGCCUU